RNAcentral lists this ribosomal RNA (1547 nucleotides) under Serratia plymuthica. RNAcentral's name for it is "bacterial SSU rRNA". It matches the Rfam family "Bacterial small subunit ribosomal RNA". The record is from RNAcentral. Lineage: Bacteria; Pseudomonadati; Pseudomonadota; Gammaproteobacteria; Enterobacterales; Yersiniaceae.
UUAAAUUGAAGAGUUUGAUCAUGGCUCAGAUUGAACGCUGGCGGCAGGCCUAACACAUGCAAGUCGAGCGGUAGCACAAGAGAGCUUGCUCUCUGGGUGACGAGCGGCGGACGGGUGAGUAAUGUCUGGGAAACUGCCUGAUGGAGGGGGAUAACUACUGGAAACGGUAGCUAAUACCGCAUAACGUCUACGGACCAAAGUGGGGGACCUUCGGGCCUCACGCCAUCAGAUGUGCCCAGAUGGGAUUAGCUAGUAGGUGGGGUAAUGGCUCACCUAGGCGACGAUCCCUAGCUGGUCUGAGAGGAUGACCAGCCACACUGGAACUGAGACACGGUCCAGACUCCUACGGGAGGCAGCAGUGGGGAAUAUUGCACAAUGGGCGCAAGCCUGAUGCAGCCAUGCCGCGUGUGUGAAGAAGGCCUUAGGGUUGUAAAGCACUUUCAGCGAGGAGGAAGGGUAGUGUGUUAAUAGCACAUUGCAUUGACGUUACUCGCAGAAGAAGCACCGGCUAACUCCGUGCCAGCAGCCGCGGUAAUACGGAGGGUGCAAGCGUUAAUCGGAAUUACUGGGCGUAAAGCGCACGCAGGCGGUUUGUUAAGUCAGAUGUGAAAUCCCCGCGCUUAACGUGGGAACUGCAUUUGAAACUGGCAAGCUAGAGUCUUGUAGAGGGGGGUAGAAUUCCAGGUGUAGCGGUGAAAUGCGUAGAGAUCUGGAGGAAUACCGGUGGCGAAGGCGGCCCCCUGGACAAAGACUGACGCUCAGGUGCGAAAGCGUGGGGAGCAAACAGGAUUAGAUACCCUGGUAGUCCACGCUGUAAACGAUGUCGAUUUGGAGGUUGUGCCCUUGAGGCGUGGCUUCCGGAGCUAACGCGUUAAAUCGACCGCCUGGGGAGUACGGCCGCAAGGUUAAAACUCAAAUGAAUUGACGGGGGCCCGCACAAGCGGUGGAGCAUGUGGUUUAAUUCGAUGCAACGCGAAGAACCUUACCUACUCUUGACAUCCAGAGAACUUUCCAGAGAUGGAUUGGUGCCUUCGGGAACUCUGAGACAGGUGCUGCAUGGCUGUCGUCAGCUCGUGUUGUGAAAUGUUGGGUUAAGUCCCGCAACGAGCGCAACCCUUAUCCUUUGUUGCCAGCGAUUCGGUCGGGAACUCAAAGGAGACUGCCGGUGAUAAACCGGAGGAAGGUGGGGAUGACGUCAAGUCAUCAUGGCCCUUACGAGUAGGGCUACACACGUGCUACAAUGGCGUAUACAAAGAGAAGCGAACUCGCGAGAGCAAGCGGACCUCAUAAAGUACGUCGUAGUCCGGAUUGGAGUCUGCAACUCGACUCCAUGAAGUCGGAAUCGCUAGUAAUCGUAGAUCAGAAUGCUACGGUGAAUACGUUCCCGGGCCUUGUACACACCGCCCGUCACACCAUGGGAGUGGGUUGCAAAAGAAGUAGGUAGCUUAACCUUCGGGAGGGCGCUUACCACUUUGUGAUUCAUGACUGGGGUGAAGUCGUAACAAGGUAACCGUAGGGGAACCUGCGGUUGGAUCACCUCCUUACCU